Molecule: ribosomal RNA, 326 nt
Filed under: uncultured eukaryote
Lineage: Eukaryota
Description: partial 18S ribosomal RNA
Rfam family: Eukaryotic small subunit ribosomal RNA
Source: RNAcentral
CCCCUAGACGUUCUGGGCUGCACGCGCGCUACAAUAAUACGCACAGCGAGUACCACCGAGCUCGAAAGGGCAAGGUAAACAAUAGAAAAGGUACUGUAAUGGUUAUAGAUCCUUGUAAUUAUUGAUCUUCAACGAGGAAUUCCUAGUAAGUAUGUGUCAUCAUCACGCACUGAUUACGUCCCUGCCCUUUGUACACACCGCCCGUCGCUCCUACCGAUUGAGUGAUCCGGUGAGGCUCUGGGACCUGGACGGAAAGAGCGUUUCGCUUGUUCUGUUUGGGAAACUUGGUCGAACCUUAUCAUUUAGAGGAAGGAGAAGGCGUAACA